Molecule: non-coding RNA, 315 nt
Organism: Vicia faba (fava bean)
Lineage: Eukaryota; Viridiplantae; Streptophyta; Magnoliopsida; Fabales; Fabaceae
Source: the annotation of a GenBank genome assembly
AUGAAGAAGUGGAGGUGCUUAGAUGGAAGCAGUGAUGUUGAAAGUUAUGAGAGAGCUGAAGGUUGUAAGGUGAUGAAGAAAAUUCAAAGGUGGAGGUUUGAAAGAGGCGAUGCAGAAUUGAAAAAGGAAGUUAGUAAAUCUGUUAGAAAGCAGUUAGAAAAGUUUGUUUGGAAUUAUGGAUUUCUGUUUGGCAGUUGUACUGUUUACAGGUUGAGUUCCAAGUGGCCAGUAGGAUUUAUGUUGAAGCAGUGUGAAGAUUAUGGUGAAGAGGUAAGGUCAAACUGUGGGAUUUCGUGGAAGACAUAUGAAGAUUAG